GGCGGACGUAGCCAAGUGGUCCAAAGGCAGU
RNAcentral lists this transfer RNA (31 nucleotides) under Taxus canadensis (Canada yew). Its description in RNAcentral is "partial tRNA-His". The record is from RNAcentral. Lineage: Eukaryota; Viridiplantae; Streptophyta; Pinopsida; Cupressales; Taxaceae.